UUUAUCGGAGAGUUUGAUCCUGGCUCAGGACAAACGCUGGCGGCGUGCCUAAUACAUGCAAGUCGAGCGGACAGAUGGGAGCUUGCUCCCUGAUGUUAGCGGCGGACGGGUGAGUAACACGUGGGUAACCUGCCUGUAAGACUGGGAUAACUCCGGGAAACCGGGGCUAAUACCGGAUGGUUGUCUGAACCGCAUGGUUCAGACAUAAAAGGUGGCUUCGGCUACCACUUACAGAUGGACCCGCGGCGCAUUAGCUAGUUGGUGAGGUAACGGCUCACCAAGGCGACGAUGCGUAGCCGACCUGAGAGGGUGAUCGGC
Molecule: ribosomal RNA, 318 nt
Filed under: Bacillus velezensis
Lineage: Bacteria; Bacillati; Bacillota; Bacilli; Caryophanales; Bacillaceae
Description: bacterial SSU rRNA
Rfam family: Bacterial small subunit ribosomal RNA
Source: RNAcentral